Molecule: ribosomal RNA, 331 nt
Filed under: Rhynchelmis saxosa
Lineage: Eukaryota; Metazoa; Annelida; Clitellata; Lumbriculida; Lumbriculidae
Description: partial 16S ribosomal RNA
Rfam family: Bacterial large subunit ribosomal RNA
Source: RNAcentral
GCAUAAUCAUUUGCCCGUUAAUUGCGAGCUAGAAUGAACGGGUAAACGAAAUAGAACCUGUCUCUAUUAAAAUAAUAUAAAUUAACCUCUAGGUGAAGAGACCUAAAUAAAAUUGAAGGACAAGAAGACCCUAUAGAGCUUUACUCUAGUAAAGUAGUAGCGUAUUUUAUACAGUUCGGUUGGGGCGACCAAGGAAUAUUUAUCAUCCUUCCAUAUUAAGAUUCACAUAUCUCUACAUGUGACCCUAUACAGAUCAAAGGAAUAAGCUACCUUAGGGAUAACAGGCUAAUCCUCCAAUAGAGACCUUAUCAACAGGAGGGAUUGGCACCUC